Long non-coding RNA from Cucumis sativus (cucumber), 546 nucleotides. RefSeq lists it as uncharacterized. NCBI's taxonomy places the organism in Eukaryota, Viridiplantae, Streptophyta, Magnoliopsida, Cucurbitales, Cucurbitaceae. The record is from RefSeq and is a predicted model, not a curated record. The transcript has 3 exons.
UGCAGUCGUCCCGCGCGCCGAAUUGCCGUCUCCAUCUCCGUUCGCGAAGCAAAACCGCCGCCGCUCGCCGAACCCAACCGCCACCCUCUCUUUUCUUCUUCAGAUCUAAACCGUCGCGCCCAUCCGCCUGUAACCGUCGUGCCUCUCCGCUCACAACCGUCGUGCCUCCCUCGCAAAGCAAAUCGUCGUCCAGAUCUGCCUCGCCGUGAACCAUUGGGCUCAUAUUUGGGUACAUCUUGAUUCAGUGAGCGAAUCCUUGAUUUUCCAAAAGGUUGAAGUGGACUUGAUUUUCCACUUCUUGGGAUUUGAUUCAUUGGAUUUAGUAGAUUGAAGAACUUGCAUAAAAGUGAGGUAAGGGAUUUUCUACUGGACUUACCUAAAGUUUUUGAGUUGUGUUGGACUGUAUGGAUGAUGAUUAAGAUGUACAUGUUUGAUUGCAGACUAAAUGUUUAGUGUAUGUUGUAUUUGACUGGAAACAUAUAUAUAUACAUUGAUGUGUGAAUUGAUGUGGAUUGCCGAAAGUAUACAUGUGAAUGACUGAAAUUA